GCCCGCUCAAGAAACUUAAAUGAAUUGACGGGGCCCGCACAAGCGGUGGAGUAUGUGGUUUAAUUCGAUGCAACGCGAAGAACCUUACCUGGUCUUGACAUCCCGGAGACCCUUAGGAAACUAGGGGUGCUUCCAUCUGGAAGAAUCUGGAGACAGGUGCUGCAUGGCUGUCGUCAGCUCGUGUCGUGAGAUGUUGGGUUAAGUCCCGCAACGAGCGCAACCCUUGCCUUUAGUUGCCAGCAGUUCGGCUGGGCACUCUAAAGGGACUGCCGGUGUUAAACCGGAGGAAGGUGGGGAGUGACGUCAAGUCCUCAUGGCCUUUAUGACCAGGGCUACACACGUACUACAAUGGCCGAUACAAAGGGCAGCGACACUGCGAGGUGAAGCCAAUCCCGUAAAAUCGGUACUCAGUCCGGAUUGGAGUCUGCAACUCGACUCCAUGAAGUUGGAAAUCGCUAGUAAUCGUGGAUCAGCAUGCCACGGUGAAUACGUUCCCGGGCCUU
This 503-nucleotide ribosomal RNA is filed under the name uncultured Desulfobulbus sp. RNAcentral describes it as "bacterial SSU rRNA". It matches the Rfam family "Bacterial small subunit ribosomal RNA", at positions 882 to 1382 of the family's 1533-position model. Lineage: Bacteria; Pseudomonadati; Thermodesulfobacteriota; Desulfobulbia; Desulfobulbales; Desulfobulbaceae. The record is from RNAcentral.